Molecule: non-coding RNA, 30 nt
Filed under: Mus musculus (house mouse)
Lineage: Eukaryota; Metazoa; Chordata; Mammalia; Rodentia; Muridae
Source: RNAcentral
UGAGGUUGUUUCACAAGCAUCCCUACUGGC